CUUGCUCCACCGGAAAAAGAGGAGUGGCGAACGGGUGAGUAACACGUGGGUAACCUGCCCAUCAGAAGGGGAUAACACUUGGAAACAGGUGCUAAUACCGUAUAACAAUCGAAACCGCAUGGUUUUGAUUUGAAAGGCGCUUUCGGGUGUCGCUGAUGGAUGGACCCGCGGUGCAUUAGCUAGUUGGUGAGGUAACGGCUCACCAAGGCCACGAUGCAUAGCCGACCUGAGAGGGUGAUCGGCCACAUUGGGACUGAGACACGGCCCAAACUCCUACGGGAGGCAGCAGUAGGGAAUCUUCGGCAAUGGACGAAAGUCUGACCGAGCAACGCCGCGUGAGUGAAGAAGGUUUUCGGAUCGUAAAACUCUGUUGUUAGAGAAGAACAAGGAUGAGAGUAACUGUUCAUCCCUUGACGGUAUCUAACCAGAAAGCCACGGCUAACUACGUGCCAGCAGCCGCGGUAAUACGUAGGUGGCAAGCGUUGUCCGGAUUUAUUGGGCGU
RNAcentral lists this ribosomal RNA (503 nucleotides) under uncultured bacterium. RNAcentral's name for it is "bacterial SSU rRNA". It matches the Rfam family "Bacterial small subunit ribosomal RNA", at positions 71 to 561 of the family's 1533-position model. The record is from RNAcentral.